This 415-nucleotide long non-coding RNA is filed under the name Eucalyptus grandis. RNAcentral's name for it is "long non-coding RNA (EGRA_LNC003522)". Lineage: Eukaryota; Viridiplantae; Streptophyta; Magnoliopsida; Myrtales; Myrtaceae. The record is from RNAcentral.
UGGUCAUUAUUUGCCGCUUUAUUAGUCGUCAAAGCCCAAGCCACCAUAGCCGCUAGGGAUUUUCAAAACUUGGACCGGCUAAUGUUUCCUCUGCUGCAAUCGACAAGCCUAUACUUGCUCCUGUUAUAUGCUGUUUUGGGCCUUCUCGCUCUUGUUAUAUGCCUGUAAUGCAUCUUCUUCCCCCUGGAAAGAACCCCAUAAUCGCAAUUUAAGCCCUUGUCUGCACUUGCACAGACACACAAACCAUGACAACAUAUACUGUCUCUAGUUGAUGAACUGUGCGUGCACGUAUGGAUAUCCACGUACCGGAGUCUUGAAUCCUGGUAGUACAAACUUAGCAUCAGUCUUUAGUAAACAUAACCCCACCGUAAGAUUCGCAUGCAAAGGGCCAGGCCGAGGAAAGUCUCAACACUUC